CCUGGAGACUCCUACGGGAGGCAGCCGUGGGGAAUAUUGGACCCUGGACCACAAGUCUGAUCCAGCCAUUCUGUGUGCACGAUGACGUUUUUCGGAAUGUAAAGUGCUUUCAGUUGGGAAGAAAAAAAUGACGGUACCAACAGAAGAAGUGACGGCUAAAUACGUGCCAGCAGCCGCGGUAAUACGUAUGUCACAAGCGUUAUCCGGAUUUAUUGGGCGUAAAGCGCGUCUAGGUGGUUAUGUAAGUCUGAUGUGAAAAUGCAGGGCUCAACUCUGUAUUGCGUUGGAAACUGCAUGACUAGAGUACUGGAGAGGUAAGCGGAACUACAAGUGUAGAGGUGAAAUUCGUAGAUAUUUGUAGGAAUGCCGAUGGGGAAGCCAGCUUACUGGACAGAUACUGACGCUAAAGCGCGAAAGCGUGGGUAGCAAACAGGAUUAGAUACCCUUGUAGUCCUAG
Molecule: ribosomal RNA, 457 nt
Filed under: uncultured bacterium
Lineage: Bacteria
Description: bacterial SSU rRNA
Rfam family: Bacterial small subunit ribosomal RNA
Source: RNAcentral